Non-coding RNA from Callithrix jacchus (white-tufted-ear marmoset), 3275 nucleotides. NCBI's taxonomy places the organism in Eukaryota, Metazoa, Chordata, Mammalia, Primates, Cebidae. The record is from RefSeq and is a predicted model, not a curated record.
UUCCAUACCUAGAAAUACAGGCAAAGUGUUUUAUUUGAGCAUCAGUUUAAACUACAAGCAGUUUGUUUAAUCUGGUUUGCUAGCACUACCCACAAAUCCACUCAUCUGCCCUCACUUCUCCCAUCCACCCUCCUGACACCCCGUUUUCCCUCCUAGCUAAGAAGAGAAGCCAUGUACAACUUUCUCCAGAAACAUCCUCAGUGACCUCUCUUCCCACCCUUUCCCUAGAAUCAGGACACAGCACUCUGGGUUGGGACACACCCAGCUCCUAUGGCCUCUGGGAGACAAGGCUGCAAGUUGAUUCAUGACUGCCUGAGUUUGCAUGGAAACCCCAGCUAGAAUGCUUUUUAGACCAGCUUCUGGCAACAUGAGAUGUGCAACUCAGGAGUUUCAAACAGAAUUCAUUUAUUUUUACUUUAGUCCUGUCCCUUCCCAAGGCAAGGACUCUGGAUUUUCAAAAGCCAGUUUUUUUUUUUUUUUUUUAAGUUCAUAGAGAGUUUGUUAGCCCCAAGAACUGUUUAUUUCCAUACUCCUGAAACUUAAACUGAAAUUCUCUCUCUAUUCAACCCAAUCCUGGUAGAAUCGUUCUUCUUCCUGAAGAACUUGUAUGUACUGCACCAGUAAGACCCUUUGCCUACUGUCUGUAUAGUCAAUGACGUUUCAUGGGCCUGGAGAUGAAAAUGUUUGUCAUUUUUAUGAAUUAUAGUUAAAUCUCGCAAGUGCUUCUUUUUUCUUUUUCUGGUACCGAAACAUUUUUUGAAUCAUACUAAACUCUCAGUUUCUUUGUUUCGAUAGCAAAAAUGGAACAAAAGAACUUAAAAUACCAUUUUGCAGGUUUGGUUAGUAUACUUUGAUAAAUUGCAAGCUUUCUGAGGGUAGGGCGCUUCCCUGUGCUGUUCCUGAUCGUAUCCCCAGCACCUAACACAGUGUGUGUGUCUCAUUGCAGGUGCUCAAUCAGUCUUUGUUGAAUAAAUUAAUAAGCAAUGAACACACAGAAAGCCUCAGAAGCCAGGACUAGUGGAAAGCAGAACACAAUAUGGGACUCCACAAUAUGAAAAUUAUAAGGUUUAACCCCAGGGGGUCAUAAUGUUAGGACUUACAACAGGAGGGACUCCCCCACCACACAACCCCCAGCUCCUAGCCUAAGUUUUGUGCCGUCAGAGUAGCGGUGGUGAAAAUGUGGGUAACGUGCUCUGCACAGAUGUCCCCAGAUGGUCUUUUAUGUUUGGUUUUCAUGGCUAAAGAACUGGCAGAGAUCUGGAGCACUUUUCCUUAAGUCCUUCUCAGAAAUCAUACGAAGGAAAACAAAUUGAAGAGUGAGUAUGUCUCUCAGGAGGAGGAACAUGGUUGAAGGGGAGAAGGUACAACAUGCCUUCGUUGUUGGGUAACCAAGGAAACAAAAAAACAGCACAGAUUCCGCUCAAACUGCACGUAUGUCUUGAAGCCCUGCUCUGUCCGUGUUCCCUCCCCUGUGGAGAAGCUAUCAGGGACUAAUAGCAGUUUGCUUUUCUUUUUAAGGUUUAUUUUUUCCAAAGCACUAUCCUGCAGAUGGGUUGACUUGGCAGCAACGCUGGAAUCUUCCAAAGCGCGGGUGGAGAAUGGGGUUACUCAUUGACCUAGAGAGGGAAAAUGGCUUCCCACUUACUUUGGUUUGGCAGCUGUGAGGUACAGAGGAAAAUUACACAGCUGUAAAUAAUGUUUGCAAGAACCAGAGAUAAAAUUUCCCCACAAAGGACGGGAAGAAACCUAUCACAAAGCUGAGGUAGAACACACUUUUGGGGCCAGAGGGGACAAGGCUGCAGAGCGCUGAGGGAGUCAGUCACAUGGCCUUCAUGCGGUGGGGGCGGGGAGCACAGGCUCCACCAGGGGGCGGUGCUGGGACAUCCCUAGGCCUGGGCGGGCCUGGGCGGGAAUGACCUGCAUGGGCAGCUGGAGGAGAAGAGGUGCAGAUUUCUGCUCACACAGACCUCUCCUUUCUCCCCGCUUGCCUACUUUCUUUCUCUGUCCUCACCCCAACCUUUUGCUUUUGAAAAGACUCAUUUCUGGUCUUACAAAAUGUACCUUUAGUAAGACUGGUCACAUAUACUAAAAUUGGGAGAAAGUCUUCGCUUAAGUACAGAAAUUAGUUCAGCUGUGAAUGGUGUCCCCCACUCCCCAAAAUCCUACGUUAAUGUGCUUAACCCUCAGUGCCUCUGACUGGAAGAUAAUACCAAGGGUGUGGCUGGACAGCCAUGUGCUAACAAAAUUAGGUAUGUGACUCACGGAUCCAAUCAACCUCGGCAGCAGAAGCCAGAAAAAGAGGGGUGGCUACCUGUAAAAGAUCCGUGGUGUGCCCUCUUGUCUGACUGCUUGGAUCCCCAUGACUUGCAUAGGAAGCCGGUUCCCACACAGCUAGAGAACAAUUUGGCUUCAGGAUUACUCACACCCUGAGUCUCACGCCUACCCAAUUUUUAUGAUAUUAAAGAUCUUUCAUAUGACAGCCACUGGUGAGUCAAGGUGGCCGGAGCAUCACACACUGCUUAGAGCUCUAGCAGAAUGUCAGUAAUACCUCUCCCAUGUGACUGCACCCACAGAGAAAGCGGAGAUCUGAGUGACUUUAAAGGAGACUGGUGACAUUUAAUAAUGUAUCUAUUUAAUUUGGGGUCCCUUUAGCUAAGGCAGUAUUGUGUUGUGAUAAUGACAAAUUUCCCUAAUAUAUAUAUUUUUGUUAACACUAUAUUUUUUCCUAUAAAAUUUUAUACACAUGCCUCUUUCCUCUUUAGAUUUGGAUGUUUUACUAGCAAAUAAGUCUAAGUGACUAGUAAACCUUUCGGGUAACUGUCAGCAGCUCUUAAAUUCAUACUGUAGUUAUAAAAUGGAACUCUUCAUAGGAGAUCCUGUGUGAAGGCUGAAAGAAAAGGCUCCAGUGGAAUUUUCCCUCAGUUUCUGCAUAUACUCUUGUUGGCAAAGGAGACAAUAUGGCAUUGGGCAACCACCUGAGAAUAAGACCUGGGAGAGUAUAUGCCAGAUACCCUGCCAUAUGGCCUUCCAAGUAGACACCAACAAUCAUGCCAUAGGCUGGCACAACCAUCCAUAGCCUGGCAGAAGUAUUUUUGACUCUGGAAAUAGUAACAUCAUGAAUCGCCAUUGCUUUCAAAAGUUUAAUUAGAAUAUCGGCUCCAUUGGCUUAGUCCUGACAUGACUGCUUACAGCUGUUUUCCAAAACGUUCUUGAGUUUAUUCUUUAUAAAAUGUUGGCAAUUGUGAAGAUUAAAUAAAAUACAGACAACUCUAUUG